UACGGGGGGGGCAAGCGUUGUUCGGAAUUACUGGGCGUAAAGGUCUCGUAGGCGGCCAACUAAGUCGGAUGUGAAAUCCCCAGGCUUAACCUGGGAACUGCAUCCGAUACUGGAUGGCUUGAAUCCGGGAGAGGGAUGCAGAAUUCCAGGUGUAGCGGUGAAAUGCGUAGAUAUCUGGAGGAAUACCGGUGGCGAAGGCGGCAUCCUGGACCGGCAUUGACGCUGAGGGAGCGAAAGCCAGGGGAGCAAACGGG
This 254-nucleotide ribosomal RNA is filed under the name uncultured bacterium. Its description in RNAcentral is "partial 16S ribosomal RNA". It matches the Rfam family "Bacterial small subunit ribosomal RNA", at positions 524 to 776 of the family's 1533-position model. The record is from RNAcentral.